GGAGUGACUGUCCGCUAAGGUAUAAUAGGACAAGUUGCUACACUCACAUAUGUUGUUUUUAAGAUAUACCUGGUUUAACAAACCGGAUACAAGAGAAACCAAGAAGCUGGCAAAUCAGUUUCAGGUUGAACGAGAAAGCCAGUCCUAUAGCUCAGUUGGUUAGAGCGCUACACUGAUAAUGUAGAGGUCGGCAGUUCAAAUCUGCCUGGGACUACGAUUGAACAGUUCUCAGUAUUCAGUCCACAGUUAGAGUACAAGCCACCGGGCUUGUUAACUGUCAACUGUUCACUGUAGACUGCAAGAAAAUCGGGGGAUUAGCUCAGCUGGCUAGAGCACCUGCCUUGCACGCAGGGGGUCAACGGUUCGAAUCCGUUAUUCUCCACAGUGUCUUCGACAGAGGUUAUAGAAGUAUAACAAAAUGCUGUCCACAGACAAGAAGAUCUUUGACAUGAUGUAACAAAAGAGCAAGUAAAGAAAGAUUAUAGCAAUAUAAUCUAUCAAACCCUGCUAUCAAUAACUUCGGUUAUUGGUAGAUAGAAAAAGAAAGUAAAUAAGGGCA
RNAcentral lists this transfer RNA (559 nucleotides) under Dysgonomonas mossii. RNAcentral describes it as "partial 16S-23S ribosomal RNA intergenic spacer". The stretch from base 141 to 214 matches the Rfam family "tRNA". The record is from RNAcentral. Lineage: Bacteria; Pseudomonadati; Bacteroidota; Bacteroidia; Bacteroidales; Dysgonomonadaceae.